GACGAACGCUGGCGGCGUGCCUAAUACAUGCAAGUAGAACGCUGAAGGAGGAGCUUGCUUCUCUGGAUGAGUUGCGAACGGGUGAGUAACGCGUAGGUAACCUGCCUGGUAGCGGGGGAUAACUAUUGGAAACGAUAGCUAAUACCGCAUAAUAGUAGAUGUUGCAUGACAUUUGCUUAAAAGGUGCAAUUGCAUCACUACCAGAUGGACCUGCGUUGUAUUAGCUAGUUGGUGGGGUAACGGCUCACCAAGGCGACGAUACAUAGCCGACCUGAGAGGGUGAUCGGCCACACUGGGACUGAGACACGGCCCAGACUCCUACGGGAGGCAGCAGUAGGGAAUCUUCGGCAAUGGACGGAAGUCUGACCGAGCAACGCCGCGUGAGUGAAGAAGGUUUUCGGAUCGUAAAGCUCUGUUGUAAGAGAAGAACGGGUGUGAGAGUGGAAAGUUCACACUGUGACGGUACCUUACCAGAAAGGGACGGCUAACUACGUGC
This 496-nucleotide ribosomal RNA is filed under the name uncultured Streptococcus sp. Its description in RNAcentral is "bacterial SSU rRNA". It matches the Rfam family "Bacterial small subunit ribosomal RNA", at positions 28 to 508 of the family's 1533-position model. Lineage: Bacteria; Bacillati; Bacillota; Bacilli; Lactobacillales; Streptococcaceae. The record is from RNAcentral.